This is a long non-coding RNA of Chrysolophus pictus (golden pheasant), 1676 nucleotides long. NCBI's taxonomy places the organism in Eukaryota, Metazoa, Chordata, Aves, Galliformes, Phasianidae. The record is from Ensembl.
CUCUAUAGGGACCAUAUAAGGGCUGAGGAAGGGGGAAUAUGGCUCUGAGGUCCAUGUAUGGUCCCUAUAGGGUUCCUAUAGCGCUCAGGAGGGUCCCUCUAUGGUUCCUAUAGGGCUUUGCGUUCUCUAUAGGGCUCAUGGAAGGAGAUUGUGGCUCUGGGGGUCCUUAUAGGGCUCCUAUAGGGCUCUGGGGGUCCCUAUAUGGUUCCUAUGGGGCUCUGAGGGUCUCUAUACAGAUCCUAUAGGGGCUGAAAAAGGGGGAGUAUGGCUGUGAGAUCCAUGUAUGGUCCCUAAAGGGUUCCUAUAGGGUUCAGGGGGUCCCUAUACGGUUCCUAUAAGGCUAUAGGGGUCUCUAUAUGGUUUCUAUAGGGUUCAUGAAAGGAGACUGUGGCUCUAGGGAUCCCUAUAUGAUGACUAUAGGGUCUGGAAAAGAGCAUGUGGCCUUGAGGUCCCCAUAUGGUCCCCAUGGAGUUCCUAUAGGGCUCUGGGGGUCUCUGUAUGGACUCUAUAGGGCUCAUGGAAGGAGGCUGGGGCUCUGGGAUCCAUACGUGUUUUCCCAUAUGGCUCCUAUGGGGUCUGGGGAAGGGUUUUUGCGGCUCUGGGGAUCCCUAUAUGGUUCCCAUUGGGCUGUGGGUCUGAAGGUCCCCAUAUGGACCCUAUAGGGCGUGAGGGUUCCCAUAUGGAUCCUAUAGGGCCCGAGGGUCCCCAUAGAGCUCUUGGAAGGGGUUCUGCGGCUCUAUGAGUACCUAUAUGUUUCCCGUAGGAGCUCCUGGGGGCUUACCUGGUUCUCUCCUCCCCAUGGUUCCUCCGCAUAGGGCCCAGAAGGACCCUAUGGAACCCCUAUAGCCGCCAUCCAUCCCCUCCCUGAGGCGCGGACUACAACUCCCAGCAUGCACCGCGCCGCGCGGGAAAUCACCGCACCCACUUUCCCGCCUCGCGCAUGCGCAUCGCCACGGGCUGGGGCUCAGCGCAUGCGCGCAGCGCACGACCGGAACUCACCAGAGAGCGCCGCGCGUGCGCACUUCGCACCGUCCCUUCCCUCAGCCGCCUGUUCCUCUCCGCCGCCCUCUGAGCGUCCCCAGAUCUUCUCUCCCUCCUUCUCCGGCCCUUUGACAGCGAUCACCGGGCGGGAGCCCUCCGGCCCCGUUGGUUCCCGUUGUUCCCGUGCUGGCCGCCAUGGGCCGCAGCUCCAAGGACAAACGGGACAUUUAUUACCGCCUGGCCAAGGAGGGCGGCUGGCGGGCGCGCAGUGCCUUCAAACUGCUGCAGCUCCAGCAGCGCUUCGACAUCUUCUGCGGUGCGGCCCCAGAUGGCCCCGUGUGUCCCCAAAUGUCACCAGGUGUCCCCAGCGCGGCCCCAAAUGGCCUCAGUGUGUCCCUAAAUGUCACCAAAUAUCCCCAGCAUGUCCCCAAAUGGCCUCAGUGUGUCCCUAAAUGUCUCCAGAUGUCCCCAAUGUGUCCCCAAAUGGCCUCAGUGUGUCCCUAAAUGUCACCAGGUGUCCCCAGCAUGUCCCCAAAUGGCAUCAGUAUGUCCCUCAAUGUCACCAGAUGUACCCAAUGCAUCCCCAAAUGGCAUCAGUGUGUCCCUAAAUGUCACCAGAUGUCCCCACCGUGUCCCCAAAUGACCUCAGUGUGUCCCCAGAUGUCACCAGAUGUCCCCAACACGUCCCCAAAUGG